UACGUAGGGUGCAAGCGUUAAUCGGAAUUAUUGGGCGUAAAGGGCGCGUAGGCGGCGCCACAAGUCACCUGUGAAAACUCUGGGCUCAACCCAGAGCCUGCAGGCGAAACUGUGGUGCUGGAGUAUGGGAGAGGUGCGUGGAAUUCCCGGUGUAGCGGUGAAAUGCGUAGAUAUCUGGAGGAACACCGGUGGCGAAGGCGGCAUCCUGGACCAACACUGACGCUGAGGAGCGAAAGCCAGGGGAGCAAACGGG
RNAcentral lists this ribosomal RNA (253 nucleotides) under uncultured bacterium. RNAcentral describes it as "partial 16S ribosomal RNA". It matches the Rfam family "Bacterial small subunit ribosomal RNA", at positions 524 to 776 of the family's 1533-position model. The record is from RNAcentral.